CAGCACCUCAAGUGGUCAGGAUGAUUAUUGGGCCUAAAGCAUCCGUAGCCUGCUUUGUUAGUUUUCGGUUAAAUCCAUACGCUCAACGUAUGGGCUGCCGGGAAUACUGCAAAGCUAGGGAGUGGGAGAGGUAGACGGUACUCGGUAGGAAGGGGUAAAAUCCUUUGAUCUAUUGAUGACCACCUGUGGCGAAGGCGGUCUACCAGAACACGUCCGACGGUGAGGGAUGAAAGCUGGGGGAGCAAAACGGAUUAGAUACCCGAGUAGUCC
Molecule: ribosomal RNA, 270 nt
Filed under: uncultured archaeon
Lineage: Archaea
Description: partial 16S ribosomal RNA
Rfam family: Archaeal small subunit ribosomal RNA
Source: RNAcentral